GUCCCCACCUUUCUGCCACAAUACCCUAACUACAGUUUAUGUGACUACAGUUAAUCCUUAGUGGAUUAAACUGGAUGUUUUCUGCAGUGUUUUUCCUGUUUCACACUUCAGGGAUGUUGAGAAUGUCAGCGCUGUUUCAUCUGGAUUGAAUCAGUAGUUUGUGUCGAAUGGCUCGUGCUGGAUCUCACAGCUGUGUUUAAUCUGUGAUUGCUCUUUCUUCCGGUGCAGAGGAGCGCGUGUGAUUUCGUUCCGCUUUUGGAGUUUGGACACUUCUCAUGCACAAUAGAAAUAAAUGGCAGCACUUGUGUGGCUCCCGUGCGACCGAUAACAAACUUCAGUCUCACCGGCAGAAAAAAAAAAAGAAAAAAAAAAACAUUUGCAAAAUAUGAGCGAAUAGUCUGGAUCCCUGCCACUUCAGAGAACCUGUCAGACUUGUUGAGCGUAGCUUUCUUAGCAAAACAAAAGGCAGGACACAGCUACUUUUAAAGCGUUUUCUAAACUAACUGAUCAUCAGCAAAAACGACUUGUCUUUAUGUUCUUAGUUUUGUUUAUACGGGUAACUUGAGUAAAAGAUAUUUAAAGUUAGGCUACAUUUGGUUUUAGGUUGCAUGAUGAAAUUAACCAAGACGAAAACAAACUCGCUCCUCACACUGAUUCUGCUGUUUCACACCAUGUCUGAGCAAGCAGGAGGUAAUGCAUCUACGCACUAAUAUCAGUUCUUUUCCAGUUUAAACCUCUAAAAAAUCCUUACUUGAUGUUUUCUUACUCCGUUUUUGUUGUUAUGCAUGACGGUUUCACACUCUCGUCCAGCUUCUCAUGAUGAUGAGGUGAGGAUCCUGAUGGUGGGAAUCCGAGGUCAGUCCAGAUUCAGUGCUGCAGAUCUUCUGUCAGGAAGGAAAGACGGUGGACAGGAGGACAGAGAGAUUGUAAAGACUCCAGUAAUUACAGACGAGGCUCGUAGAAUGAUGCUGAUCACUGGACCGAACCUCUGUGAGGAGGACACAGCGAGACAGACCUUCAUAACAGCGCUGUUUCUCUCGUCUCCUGGACCUCACGCCGUUCUAAUGCUCCUGAAUCUGGAAGAUCAACAAUCACAACAGUGUGAUAUUGUGAAACGAGCUCAGGAGCUGCUGGGAGCAGAAGUCCUGCAGUACUGCAUUGUUCUUCUGCUGCAAAAUCACCAGGAACCUUUCACAGGAGCCUCCAGAGAAAUGAUCGACGCAUGUGGAGGAAGAUUUCUCAUCAUAAGAGACUCUGAACCUAAACCUGCUCAAAGAGCAGCUCUCGUAGCAGAAAUACACAAGUUAGUUUGGCUCAACGAUCACAGAUUUUACUCAGUAGUGACUCAAGGGUUGGAUGCAGAAGAGUCCAGUCAAAGUGUGCAUGAAGAAAAUAAGAUGCUCCCUGAAAAACAUGACAAUUCAGCAGGAACUGCACGAUGGAUUUUACUAAUUUUACUGAACACUGCUUUUAUUUUCACUAAAGUAAGACAUGACCAUUUUCAUUUUGCGGAAAUACUCUUCGUGCUUGUUAUUUUUACCGUCACUUUAAGAGAGACUCUCAAUCCAGAUGUUUCUGUUCCUUUAAAUUUGAUUGUAUCCUCAACUUUCACAGUAGCCUCUGCAUAUAAAGACUUCGCAAAUUCACGACAUGGACACCAAAUCAUAAUGUUUUUAGUCAUGAUCUUUACAUUUCCCAGUAUAGUGUUCAUAGCCGGUCUAGGACUGACUGUAGGAACAGCGGUCAGUGUACGGACGUGGUCAGAUGUGAUCAUAGCGUGCCACGCUGCUCCCGGAGUCACAUUCGGGGCUCAUUUAUACACGGUUUACUCCAUUAUACCUGAUCAAAUGCAAGCUCGUACAACUCUCAUUUUUGCACUCAAGUUAUUCCUGUUCUGUUUCGUUGGAGUGACGAUCUCGAUGGGGUUUGUGACUGUAUUUGCUCUGUUUGGAGUGAAGAUGACAAUAUUUCUGCUAAUAUUAGGAUUUACAAAAAUGUAUUUCCAUUUAAGGAGUCUUUCUCUGAAAUUGUUUAUUUUUUUCCUGCUUUUUCCAUGCUGUUGUGUAUUUAUUGGUUCUUUAAUUUCAUUUUUAUACAGUUUAUUAUUUCAUUAUAUUUUAACAGUAAUUUGAAACCGAUAAUAGUGACUAAAUCACAAGAGACACUUACAGAUUUUGGAUCAUAAGUUAAUGCUGAUAUUGAUAUUGAUGUUUCUUCAACUAUGGGUAUUUUUGGCACUGUGUACUUUCAGGAAAUAAUCUCUCUUACAACCCAUCUUAUUUCUUUACUAACGAGCAUUUAACAUCAAUAAAGACAUCACAGGAAAAUCUUGAACA
This is a long non-coding RNA of Cyprinus carpio (common carp), 2336 nucleotides long. Lineage: Eukaryota; Metazoa; Chordata; Actinopteri; Cypriniformes; Cyprinidae. The record is from Ensembl.